GGGUUGUGAGGUUAAGCGACUAAGCGUACACGGUGGAUGCCCUGGCAGUCAGAGGCGAUGAAGGACGUGCUAAUCUGCGAUAAGCGUCGGUAAGGUGAUAUGAACCGUUAUAACCGGCGAUUUCCGAAUGGGGAAACCCAGUGUGUUUCGACACACUAUCAUUAACUGAAUCCAUAGGUUAAUGAGGCGAACCGGGGGAACUGAAACAUCUAAGUACCCCGAGGAAAAGAAAUCAACCGAGAUUCCCCCAGUAGCGGCGAGCGAACGGGGAGCAGCCCAGAGCCUGAAUCAGUGUGUGUGUUAGUGGAAGCGUCUGGAAAGGCGCGCGAUACAGGGUGACAGCCCCGUACACAAAAAUGCACAUGCUGUGAGCUCGAUGAGUAGGGCGGGACACGUGGUAUCCUGUCUGAAUAUGGGGGACCAUCCUCCAAGGCUAAAUACUCCUGACUGACCGAUAGUGAACCAGUACCGUGAGGGAAAGGCGAAAAGAACCCCGGCGAGGGGAGUGAAAAAGAACCUGAAACCGUGUACGUACAAGCAGUGGGAGCACGCUUAGGCGUGUGACUGCGUACCUUUUGUAUAAUGGGUCAGCGACUUAUAUUCUGUAGCAAGGUUAACCGAAUAGGGGAGCCGAAGGGAAACCGAGUCUUAACUGGGCGUUAAGUUGCAGGGUAUAGACCCGAAACCCGGUGAUCUAGCCAUGGGCAGGUUGAAGGUUGGGUAACACUAACUGGAGGACCGAACCGACUAAUGUUGAAAAAUUAGCGGAUGACUUGUGGCUGGGGGUGAAAGGCCAAUCAAACCGGGAGAUAGCUGGUUCUCCCCGAAAGCUAUUUAGGUAGCGCCUCGUGAAUUCAUCUCCGGGGGUAGAGCACUGUUUCGGCAAGGGGGUCAUCCCGACUUACCAACCCGAUGCAAACUGCGAAUACCGGAGAAUGUUAUCACGGGAGACACACGGCGGGUGCUAACGUCCGUCGUGAAGAGGGAAACAACCCAGACCGCCAGCUAAGGUCCCAAAGUCAUGGUUAAGUGGGAAACGAUGUGGGAAGGCCCAGACAGCCAGGAUGUUGGCUUAGAAGCAGCCAUCAUUUAAAGAAAGCGUAAUAGCUCACUGGUCGAGUCGGCCUGCGCGGAAGAUGUAACGGGGCUAAACCAUGCACCGAAGCUGCGGCAGCGACGCUUAUGCGUUGUUGGGUAGGGGAGCGUUCUGUAAGCCUGCGAAGGUGUGCUGUGAGGCAUGCUGGAGGUAUCAGAAGUGCGAAUGCUGACAUAAGUAACGAUAAAGCGGGUGAAAAGCCCGCUCGCCGGAAGACCAAGGGUUCCUGUCCAACGUUAAUCGGGGCAGGGUGAGUCGACCCCUAAGGCGAGGCCGAAAGGCGUAGUCGAUGGGAAACAGGUUAAUAUUCCUGUACUUGGUGUUACUGCGAAGGGGGGACGGAGAAGGCUAUGUUGGCCGGGCGACGGUUGUCCCGGUUUAAGCGUGUAGGCUGGUUUUCCAGGCAAAUCCGGAAAAUCAAGGCUGAGGCGUGAUGACGAGGCACUACGGUGCUGAAGCAACAAAUGCCCUGCUUCCAGGAAAAGCCUCUAAGCAUCAGGUAACAUCAAAUCGUACCCCAAACCGACACAGGUGGUCAGGUAGAGAAUACCAAGGCGCUUGAGAGAACUCGGGUGAAGGAACUAGGCAAAAUGGUGCCGUAACUUCGGGAGAAGGCACGCUGAUAUGUAGGUGAGGUCCCUCGCGGAUGGAGCUGAAAUCAGUCGAAGAUACCAGCUGGCUGCAACUGUUUAUUAAAAACACAGCACUGUGCAAACACGAAAGUGGACGUAUACGGUGUGACGCCUGCCCGGUGCCGGAAGGUUAAUUGAUGGGGUUAGCGCAAGCGAAGCUCUUGAUCGAAGCCCCGGUAAACGGCGGCCGUAACUAUAACGGUCCUAAGGUAGCGAAAUUCCUUGUCGGGUAAGUUCCGACCUGCACGAAUGGCGUAAUGAUGGCCAGGCUGUCUCCACCCGAGACUCAGUGAAAUUGAACUCGCUGUGAAGAUGCAGUGUACCCGCGGCAAGACGGAAAGACCCCGUGAACCUUUACUAUAGCUUGACACUGAACAUUGAGCCUUGAUGUGUAGGAUAGGUGGGAGGCUUUGAAGUGUGGACGCCAGUCUGCAUGGAGCCGACCUUGAAAUACCACCCUUUAAUGUUUGAUGUUCUAACGUUGACCCGUAAUCCGGGUUGCGGACAGUGUCUGGUGGGUAGUUUGACUGGGGCGGUCUCCUCCUAAAGAGUAACGGAGGAGCACGAAGGUUGGCUAAUCCUGGUCGGACAUCAGGAGGUUAGUGCAAUGGCAUAAGCCAGCUUGACUGCGAGCGUGACGGCGCGAGCAGGUGCGAAAGCAGGUCAUAGUGAUCCGGUGGUUCUGAAUGGAAGGGCCAUCGCUCAACGGAUAAAAGGUACUCCGGGGAUAACAGGCUGAUACCGCCCAAGAGUUCAUAUCGACGGCGGUGUUUGGCACCUCGAUGUCGGCUCAUCACAUCCUGGGGCUGAAGUAGGUCCCAAGGGUAUGGCUGUUCGCCAUUUAAAGUGGUACGCGAGCUGGGUUUAGAACGUCGUGAGACAGUUCGGUCCCUAUCUGCCGUGGGCGCUGGAGAACUGAGGGGGGCUGCUCCUAGUACGAGAGGACCGGAGUGGACGCAUCACUGGUGUUCGGGUUGUCAUGCCAAUGGCACUGCCCGGUAGCUAAAUGCGGAAGAGAUAAGUGCUGAAAGCAUCUAAGCACGAAACUUGCCCCGAGAUGAGUUCUCCCUGACCCUUUAAGGGUCCUGAAGGAACGUUGAAGACGACGACGUUGAUAGGCCGGGUGUGUAAGCGCAGCGAUGCGUUGAGCUAACCGGUACUAAUGAACCGUGAGGCUUAACCUUACAACGCCGAAGCUGUU
This 2929-nucleotide ribosomal RNA is filed under the name Escherichia coli. RNAcentral describes it as "23S ribosomal RNA". It matches the Rfam family "Bacterial large subunit ribosomal RNA". Lineage: Bacteria; Pseudomonadati; Pseudomonadota; Gammaproteobacteria; Enterobacterales; Enterobacteriaceae. The record is from RNAcentral. RNAcentral also lists the same sequence under 1 other name.